AGUGAACGCUGGCGGUAGGCCUAACACAUGCAAGUCGAACGGCAGCACAGUAAGAGCUUGCUCUUACGGGUGGCGAGUGGCGGACGGGUGAGGAAUACAUCGGAAUCUACUUUUUCGUGGGGGAUAACGUAGGGAAACUUACGCUAAUACCGCAUACGACCUACGGGUGAAAGCAGGGGAUCUUCGGACCUUGCGCGAUUGAAUGAGCCGAUGUCGGAUUAGCUAGUUGGCGGGGUAAAGGCCCACCAAGGCGACGAUCCGUAGCUGGUCUGAGAGGAUGAUCAGCCACACUGGAACUGAGACACGGUCCAGACUCCUACGGGAGGCAGCAGUGGGGAAUAUUGGACAAUGGGCGCAAGCCUGAUCCAGCCAUACCGCGUGGGUGAAGAAGGCCUUCGGGUUGCAAAGCCCUUUUGUUGGGAAAGAAAAGCAGCAGGUUAAUACCCCGCUAUUCUGACGGUACCCAAAGAAUAAGCACCGGCUAACUUCGUG
This 492-nucleotide ribosomal RNA is filed under the name uncultured bacterium. Its description in RNAcentral is "partial 16S ribosomal RNA". It matches the Rfam family "Bacterial small subunit ribosomal RNA", at positions 29 to 507 of the family's 1533-position model. The record is from RNAcentral.